RNAcentral lists this ribosomal RNA (376 nucleotides) under uncultured bacterium. RNAcentral describes it as "bacterial SSU rRNA". It matches the Rfam family "Bacterial small subunit ribosomal RNA", at positions 524 to 898 of the family's 1533-position model. The record is from RNAcentral.
UACGUAGGUGGCGAGCGUUGUCCGGAUUUACUGGGCGUAAAGCGCGCGCAGGCGGACUGAUCAGUCUGGGGUGAAAUCUCACGGCUCAACUGUGAGCGGUCCCUGGAUACUGUCAGUCUUGAGAUGUCUAGAGGAGAGCGGAAUUCCCGGUGUAGUGGUGGAAUGCGUAGAUAUCGGGAAGAACACCAGUGGCGAAAGCGGCUCUCUGGGGACCAUCUGACGCUGAGGCGCGAAAGCGUGGGGAGCGAACCGGAUUAGAUACCCGGGUAGUCCACGCCGUAAACGAUGAGCACUAGCUGUCGGGGGUAUCGACCCCUCCGGUAGCGCAGCUAACGCGAUAAGUGCUCCGCCUGGGGACUACGGCCGCAAGGCUAAA